AUGCGCUCCACCUGCGCUGUGCUCUUUAAAUACCUGUGUGUGACAACUUCUCUCUGCCAGAUCGUCUUGGUUCUUCCCUGCACGCAAUCAGCAUUACUCU
This is a long non-coding RNA of Melanotaenia boesemani (Boeseman's rainbowfish), 100 nucleotides long. RefSeq lists it as uncharacterized. Lineage: Eukaryota; Metazoa; Chordata; Actinopteri; Atheriniformes; Melanotaeniidae. The transcript has 3 exons. The record is from RefSeq and is a predicted model, not a curated record.